CGUUAGCCUUCAAAGCUAAAAGUGUGGGUUCAAGUCCUGCCCCUCCUG
This 48-nucleotide transfer RNA is filed under the name Parantipathes sp. type B. RNAcentral's name for it is "partial tRNA-Trp". It matches the Rfam family "tRNA", at positions 24 to 71 of the family's 71-position model. Rfam says of the family: Transfer RNA (tRNA) molecules are approximately 80 nucleotides in length. Their secondary structure includes four short double-helical elements and three loops (D, anti-codon, and T loops). Lineage: Eukaryota; Metazoa; Cnidaria; Anthozoa; Antipatharia; Schizopathidae. The record is from RNAcentral.